Molecule: ribosomal RNA, 254 nt
Filed under: uncultured Methanosarcina sp.
Lineage: Archaea; Methanobacteriati; Methanobacteriota; Methanomicrobia; Methanosarcinales; Methanosarcinaceae
Description: partial 16S ribosomal RNA
Rfam family: Archaeal small subunit ribosomal RNA
Source: RNAcentral
CACCGGCGGCCCGAGUGGUGAUCGUGAUUAUUGGGUCUAAAGGGUCCGUAGCCGGUUUGGUCAGUCCUCCGGGAAAUCUGACGGCUCAACCGUUAGGCUUUCGGGGGAUACUGCCAGGCUUGGAACCGGGAGAGGUAAGAGGUACUACAGGGGUAGGAGUGAAAUCUUGUAAUCCCUGUGAGACCACCUGUGGCGAAGGCGUCUUACCAGAACGGGUUCGACGGUGAGGGACGAAAGCUGGGGGCACGAACCGG